Molecule: ribosomal RNA, 484 nt
Filed under: uncultured bacterium
Lineage: Bacteria
Description: partial 16S ribosomal RNA
Rfam family: Bacterial small subunit ribosomal RNA
Source: RNAcentral
AUUGAACGCUGGCGGCAGGCCUAACACAUGCAAGUCGAGCGGAUGAAGGGAGCUUGCUCCUGGAUUCAGCGGCGGACGGGUGAGUAAUGCCUAGGAAUCUGCCUGGUAGUGGGGGAUAACGUCCGGAAACGGGCGCUAAUACCGCAUACGUCCUGAGGGUGAAAGUGGGGGAUCUUCGGACCUCACGCUAUUAGAUGAGCCUAGGUCGGAUUAGCUAGUUGGUGGGGUAAAGGCCUACCAAGGCGACGAUCCGUAACUGGUCUGAGAGGGUGAUCAGUCACACUGGAACUGAGACACGGUCCAGACUCCUACGGGAGGCAGCAGUGGGGAAUAUUGGACAAUGGGCGAAAGCCUGAUCCAGCCAUGCCGCGUGUGUGAAGAAGGUCUUCGGAUUGUAAAGCACUUUAAGUUGGGAAGAAGGGCAGUAAGUGAAUACCUUGCUGUUUUGACGUUACCAACAGAAUAAGCACCGGCUAACUUCGUG